This 512-nucleotide long non-coding RNA is filed under the name Lathyrus oleraceus (garden pea). RNAcentral describes it as "Pisum sativum (pea) long non-coding RNA (PSAT_LNC005243)". The record is from RNAcentral. Lineage: Eukaryota; Viridiplantae; Streptophyta; Magnoliopsida; Fabales; Fabaceae.
UUAUUUUCUUUGUUUUUGUUCUUUGUUUUGUUUUAUUUUUGUUUUCUUUCAAAAAAAAAUUUCAUUUUUGUUGAAAGUUUUAGGCUAUAGAAUAAUUUGAGGUUGGUUUGUAGAGACUUGGGAAAAAUUCACAAGAUCGGUAUCGCUUUAACACCUUAAAUCUCCUGAAUAUGAAAAUCAUUUUGAAUACUUGUUAUGACAUAGCCUUGAGUUCUCAUUUUUCUUAUAGCUCUUGAGUAGUUUAUUUUAGCAGUCAGCACCAUCUCACACGCACUUUACGCAGGGAAGCCGAUGAAUAUAAGUGAGUGCCCCGAAAAAAAAAAAAACAACAAGGAAUGCACCUUCUAAGUUUGGUGACCCUCACCCGAUCACUUAACCCAACGGAUGUAGAACCUUCAAAAAAAAUUUGAAAAUAAGACUAGUUGUCAGUUGGUUCAGCGGUUUCUGGUACUGAACUUGGUAGGGCGGAUUACGGUCCGAUCCUCCGCAACUACAACUGAAUAAGCAAGGGG